Molecule: ribosomal RNA, 721 nt
Filed under: uncultured Lachnospiraceae bacterium
Lineage: Bacteria; Bacillati; Bacillota; Clostridia; Lachnospirales; Lachnospiraceae
Description: bacterial SSU rRNA
Rfam family: Bacterial small subunit ribosomal RNA
Source: RNAcentral
GAUGAACGCUGGCGGCGUGCUUAACACAUGCAAGUCGAACGAAGCACUCUAUUUGAUUUUCUUCGGAAAUGAAGAUUUUGUGACUGAGUGGCGGACGGGUGAGUAACGCGUGGGUAACCUGCCUCAUACAGGGGGAUAACAGUUGGAAACGACUGCUAAUACCGCAUAAGCGCACAGGAUCGCAUGAUCCGGUGUGAAAAACUCCGGUGGUAUGGGAUGGACCCGCGUCUGAUUAGCCAGUUGGCAGGGUAACGGCCUACCAAAGCGACGAUCAGUAGCCGACCUGAGAGGGUGACCGGCCACAUUGGGACUGAGACACGGCCCAAACUCCUACGGGAGGCAGCAGUGGGGAAUAUUGCACAAUGGGGGAAACCCUGAUGCAGCGACGCCGCGUGAGCGAAGAAGUAUUUCGGUAUGUAAAGCUCUAUCAGCAGGGAAGAAGAAUGACGGUACCUGACUAAGAAGCACCGGCUAAAUACGUGCCAGCAGCCGCGGUAAUACGUAUGGUGCAAGCGUUAUCCGGAUUUACUGGGUGUAAAGGGAGCGCAGGCGGUGCGGCAAGUCUGAUGUGAAAGCCCGGGGCUCAACCCCGGUACUGCAUUGGAAACUGUCGUACUAGAGUGUCGGAGGGGUAAGUGGAAUUCCUAGUGUAGCGGUGAAAUGCGUAGAUAUUAGGAGGAACACCAGUGGCGAAGGCGGCUUACUGGACGAUACUGACGCU